ACCCCCAACUUGCUUGCCACUCACUUUUAUGUGUGAAAUGUUCCACUCAGCUCCAUUCCAUAAUCAAAGGCUGUUGAAAUAUCAAGACUCAAUUAAUUAUUACAAUUCCUGGCAGCAGUGUGAAAGUUAGUGGGUGGAGACCUCAUUGCGUUUAAUUUUGCACGGACUUCUACCCUGACACACAGCUUCUCUGCUCUUGAGGACUAUAUAACCUACAGUUACUCUGCCAGGGAUGGAGGACUGAGGAAGACAGUUGGCAGAUGAAGAAAUAAAGACAAAUUCCAGAGACAGAAAACCAAUUGCUCUAUGAGGUUCUGACAACCCAAAGAAAACCACACUUCAAAUAACUUCUGUAUUUCUGUGAAGGAGAUCAUUAUCUUGUUUUGCAGAUUUGGGAAAGAUGAAGCAACAAAAGAGAGGAACAAGACAAUUUUAUUUAUAUGAAUCUGAGAGAAGGAAAGACAUAUUGGCCACAAGCUUUAAGGGAAUGGAAUGGAAUUAAACAUUUAAAUACAUAUUUGUUGAUGAUCAAUAAUGAAUUAUUUCUUCUAAUGGUGAACACUUUUCUUUUGCAUGUUAGUAACUACUGAUUUGGGGAUCAGUUCAUUAUAUAGUUUUUUUUUAAAAAUAUAUAAAAUGAAUUUGUAAUAGAAAAGAGCUAUACUAUAUGUACAGUAUAUUAUAGUGUACAUAACUGCAAUUCAUAAUAUUCCUGAGAAAUCUUCAAUCCUGUUGAUUUUUAAAGAAUCAUUAUUUCCUUCAAAUUGUUCUUUUUAAUUGUAUUCCAUUUUGUGAAAAUUACCCAAGCUAAAUCAGAUUGCAGAUACAUCCAUAAAUCAACUAACAGUUGUGGUUGUUUUUUAAAAAAGCUUUCCAUGUGAAAUGAUUGUUGAUCAUGAGGAUACCACCACUGAAAAAGCCUUGCACUUUAUCUCUGCUACUAUAACCACCAAGAGCGAAGAGAGCUGGAAUAAAUUACUUCUGAUGACUACACAGUGUAUGUUUGCA
Molecule: long non-coding RNA, 1008 nt
Organism: Ahaetulla prasina
Lineage: Eukaryota; Metazoa; Chordata; Lepidosauria; Squamata; Colubridae
Exons: 3
Source: RefSeq, a predicted model, not a curated record